This 468-nucleotide ribosomal RNA is filed under the name uncultured bacterium. Its description in RNAcentral is "bacterial SSU rRNA". It matches the Rfam family "Bacterial small subunit ribosomal RNA", at positions 43 to 505 of the family's 1533-position model. The record is from RNAcentral.
CAGGCCUAACACAUGCAAGUCGAGGGGCAGCAGGACUGUAGCAAUACAGUUGCUGGCGACCGGCAAACGGGUGCGGAACACGUACAGAACCUUCCUUCGAGUGGGAGAUAGCCCAGGGAAACUUGGAGUAAUACCCCAUAGGAUAGUAGAGUGGCAUCACUUAGCUAUUAAAGAUUCAUCGCUCGAAGAUGGCUGUGCGGCUGAUUAGGUAGUUGGCGGGGUAAUGGCCCACCAAGCCUUCGAUCAGUAACUGGUGUGAGAGCACGACCAGUCACACGGGCACUGAGACACGGGCCCGACUCCUACGGGAGGCAGCAGUAAGGAAUAUUGGGCAAUGGAGGCAACUCUGACCCAGCCAUGCCGCGUGGAGGAUGAAGGUCCUCUGGAUUGUAAACUUCUUUUAUUUGGGAAGAAAUGCCGACUUUCUAGUUGGUUGACGGUACCAGAGAAUAAGCACCGGCAACUCUG